Molecule: ribosomal RNA, 791 nt
Filed under: Pseudogymnoascus sp.
Lineage: Eukaryota; Fungi; Ascomycota; Leotiomycetes; Thelebolales; Thelebolaceae
Description: partial large subunit ribosomal RNA
Rfam family: Eukaryotic large subunit ribosomal RNA
Source: RNAcentral
ACGGCGAGUGAAGCGGUAACAGCUCAAAUUUGAAAUCUGGCCUCACGGUCCGAGUUGUAAUUUGUAGAGGAUGCUUCGAGCAUGGUCUGGCCUAAGUUCCUUGGAACAGGACGUCAUAGAGGGUGAGAAUCCCGUAUGCGGCCAGGUGCCUACGCUCAUGUGAAGCUCCUUCGACGAGUCGAGUUGUUUGGGAAUGCAGCUCAAAAUGGGUGGUAAAUUUCAUCUAAAGCUAAAUAUUGGCCAGAGACCGAUAGCGCACAAGUAGAGUGAUCGAAAGAUGAAAAGCACUUUGGAAAGAGAGUUAAACAGUACGUGAAAUUGUUGAAAGGGAAGCGCUUGCAACCAGACUUGCGCGCGGCCGAUCAUCCGGUGUUCUCACCGGUGCACUCGGCCGUGCUCAGGCCAGCAUCGGUUUUGGCGGCUGGAUAAAGGCCCUAGGAAUGUAGCUCCUCUCGGGGAGUGUUAUAGCCUAGGGUGCAAUGCAGCCUGCUGGGACCGAGGACCGCGCUUCGGCUAGGAUGCUGGCGUAAUGGUUGUAAGCGGCCCGUCUUGAAACACGGACCAAGGAGUCUAACAUCUAUGCGAGUGUUUGGGUGUCAAACCCAUACGCGUAAUGAAAGUGAACGGAGGUGAGAACCCUUAAGGGUGCAUCAUCGACCGGUCCUGAAGUUUACGGAAGGAUCUGAGUAAGAGCAUAGCUGUUGGGACCCGAAAGAUGGUGAACUAUGCCUGAAUAGGGUGAAGCCAGAGGAAACUCUGGUGGAGGCUCGCAGCGGUUCUGACGUGCAAAU